GGACUCUUAGCUCAGUUGGUUAGAGCGCUUCAUUCACAUUGAAGAGGUCGGAAGUUCGAGUCUUCUAGAGUCCA
This 74-nucleotide transfer RNA is filed under the name Candidatus Levyibacteriota bacterium. RNAcentral's name for it is "tRNA-Val". It matches the Rfam family "tRNA". Rfam says of the family: Transfer RNA (tRNA) molecules are approximately 80 nucleotides in length. The record is from RNAcentral. Lineage: Bacteria; Candidatus Levyibacteriota.